GAUUGCAUUGUGGUUCCUCUUACGUAGCUAUUUCACUGCCCUCUUAAUAGCAAAGUGAAAAAGAAUACCUCAGUGGAAGACCUACAGACUCCUUUAAUUGACUGGUCCGUCUAGAUGUACUUCUAUUCCAGCUGGCCUUGAAGAACUACUCUUAUGCACCAGCACCUUCACUGCUCUCCGCCAAUAUUAGAUAUGUAUUUAGCUAGCCUAAUUCUACCUAAUAGCACACUCAGUGGCACGCUGUAUUUCCAAAUUGUUACAUAACAUAACAUCUUUGCACUUUGUUUUCUUUAAGCUCUUAAAGAGUGCUUGAAUUGCAAGCGUACACCUGCUGCUUUUGUUUCCACUGCAGGUUUACAGUUAAAUAAGUCGCUGUUUUUCAGGUGUUCUGUAAAGUCAUAGUACUGUUCAUAUUGCCUUGUGUGCUGUGCUCCUAAGCAAGCGCUGCUGUGAUGACCUUCCUUCCUUGUCCAAAUUUUCUUUUAAAAUGAAAUUGAGUUGAUACUUGAAGGUCUCAAUCUCACAAGGAAUGUUAUUCAAUGUUUACAAGGCGUUUGGAUAGAGUGGCUGUGUGAUUGAUGACUUGAUGUGAAUCUUAAUUCUUAAACAUCUAGAAUUAGACAUCUGCGACUCUUUGACAAGAUGCCUUGUCGCUCUAUGUGCUAUUGCUUGAGAUCUUGGAGAAAAAGCCAAGUAGCUUAACAUUGUUGAUAUUACAAAAGUAAGUGUCGAAUAUUUACUUUGGUAAUCUAUAUUAUGCAAGGAUAUAUACCUAUUCAUGUUUGGUAUAUAUAUUAUGUUAAAGUAGCUUGACAUCCUAAUCCUAAGCCAUACAAAAACAGAGGAUCGAAAGAACGGUUGCUGACUUAAUUCAUUCAUUAGUUCUUAGAACAGUUCCAACACGUUCUCUUUUAACAGUUGAGGGGAUUACAGAUGCAUAAUUUGGAAUCAGAACUUUAAUGUAUUGUUUUUUACACGUCUCAUUUCUCAUAGCCUUCUGUGUGAAUGGUAACUGAAUUUUCAUCUUGACAGGUUGAGAAUAUUCUAAUUAUGGGCCAUAGUUGCUGUAGGGGAAUCUGUGCUCUCAUGGGUAUGCAGGAUGAAGAAGAAGAUUAAGAGAUCCAGGAGCUGCAUUAGGACUUGAGUAAUUGUUGGCAAAAAUGCAAGAAUUAGCACCAAAUUUGUGGUUUCCAAUCUCAGUUUUGACCACCAAUGUCGACAUUGUGAAAAGGUGCACAUCAUUGGCAAACUCUAAACUUUG
Beta vulgaris subsp. vulgaris (sugar beet) is the source of this 1261-nucleotide long non-coding RNA. RefSeq lists it as uncharacterized. The transcript has 3 exons. Lineage: Eukaryota; Viridiplantae; Streptophyta; Magnoliopsida; Caryophyllales; Amaranthaceae. The record is from RefSeq and is a predicted model, not a curated record.